This 162-nucleotide non-coding RNA is filed under the name Vitis vinifera (wine grape). Its description in RNAcentral is "Eukaryotic small subunit ribosomal RNA". It matches the Rfam family "Eukaryotic small subunit ribosomal RNA", at positions 1667 to 1823 of the family's 1831-position model. Lineage: Eukaryota; Viridiplantae; Streptophyta; Magnoliopsida; Vitales; Vitaceae. The record is from Rfam by way of RNAcentral.
CACCGCCCUGUUGCUCCUACCGAUUGAAUGGUCUGGUGAAGUGUUCGGAUCGCAGUGAUGUGGGUGGUCCGCUGCCCGCGACAUCAUGAGAAGUCCAUUGAACCUUAUCAUUUAGAGGAAGGAGAAGUAGUAACAAGGUUUUCGUAGGUGAACCUGCAGAAG